CUACGGGACGCAGCAGUGGGGAAUAUUGGACAAUGGACCAAAAGUCUGAUCCAGCAAUUCUGUGUGCACGAUGAAGGUCUUCGGAUUGUAAAGUGCUUUCAGUUGGGAAGAAGCAAGUGACGGUACCAACAGAAGAAGCGACGGCUAAAUACGUGCCAGCAGCCGCGGUAAUACGUAUGUCGCAAGCGUUAUCCGGAUUUAUUGGGCGUAAAGCGCGUCUAGGCGGAAAAAUAAGUCUGAUGUUAAAAUGCGGGGCUCAACUCCGUAUUGCGUUGGAAACUGUUUUUCUAGAGUACUGGAGAGGUGGGCGGAACUACAAGUGUAGAGGUGAAAUUCGUAGAUAUUUGUAGGAAUGCCGAUGGAGAAGUCAGCUCACUGGACAGAUACUGACGCUAAAGCGCGAAAGCGUGGGGAGCAAACAGGAUUAGAUACCCCCGUAGUC
Molecule: ribosomal RNA, 442 nt
Filed under: uncultured bacterium
Lineage: Bacteria
Description: partial 16S ribosomal RNA
Rfam family: Bacterial small subunit ribosomal RNA
Source: RNAcentral